GGAGAGAACUCCGAAUAUAUCCUUAGAAUCUGGGCAUUCUCGAAGUGCAAGCAUAGCAUCUACUAGUGGAGUAUGCAUGCCUAUGUCAAUUACACAACUCUCUCAUACCAUGCUGCUGAUUUAUGGGAAAUUCAAUUAUUAGACUGGAAUCUCCUUAAGCGUAGGAGUCGAAUAGACGCCAGUCUCAGUGAAGGGAAAAUUGAUUCGAAUCUGGAUGAAUACA
Molecule: long non-coding RNA, 223 nt
Filed under: Vitis vinifera (wine grape)
Lineage: Eukaryota; Viridiplantae; Streptophyta; Magnoliopsida; Vitales; Vitaceae
Description: long non-coding RNA (VVIN_LNC005330)
Source: RNAcentral